This 61-nucleotide transfer RNA is filed under the name Longitarsus niger. RNAcentral's name for it is "tRNA-Arg". Lineage: Eukaryota; Metazoa; Arthropoda; Insecta; Coleoptera; Chrysomelidae. The record is from RNAcentral.
AAAUAAGAAGCAAAAUUUUGCAUUUAGUUUCGACCUAAAAAUUUGGUUAUACCCUUAUUUU